UCGCUUGGAUUGAAUUCGGUCGGUAGUAUGUUUCGGCGCAUAGAUAAUAGACGAAUCUUUUAUCUUCCAUUAUCUAUGCUUCAGAGUGUGCAGCUGUCCUCGUAUGUGAUUACGUUGCGUUUAAUUUAUUUUGAGUGUUUCGAUUCUAGUGUCGCUAUAAUCUGUGACGUGUAGUAAACGGUCAGUUAUGCGUUAUGUCUUCCGUCGCAGAACUCCUAGGUAGUUUUCAAACGGACGUUUCUUAAACACGACUGGGUCUGACAGCUGCCAAACGAAAUACCCAGUUCAAUAUUAUGGGCCAACCGAUAAGACUUCACUCACUACCAAUACUGAAACAUCAUCGAUUAAUAAAUAAUAUGACUGAUGGAAAAGCAAUUUGUACAAGUAUGUAUAGUUAAUAGUUUUUCCAUAUGGCGUGGUCACUGGCUCUCCGCUCUCUAUCAGAGAAAUAAAAUCGAAAACAUCCUUCGAUGACAUGCGACGCUGUUUAUUAUUUAGGAUUUAAGUGACUGUGGAUACGAUGGGUAUUUGUUUUCUUUGUGAUACAAAGCUGUACGGUGAACGAAUACUGGUGGGUUCAAGCAUUACACCACGUCAUAGUAAUGCACCAAACCCGGAAAAAAUUGUUGAGUUUAUUGGAGAUGAAUUUGUGAUUAUUGUGACCCCUGCAGACCACAUAUGCGAGAAAUGUACCUCUCUUUUGCUCCAUAUGAACAAGUUGGAAAAUUAUCUGAAACUUGUUAAAAAUGCAAUGUUGUUAUAUAUAUAAAAGAAAUAUGGAACAUUGCCUCCUGAUCAGGCUGUUAAGAAUGUUGAGAUUGUCAAUGGGCACUUAAACGCAGAGUAACAACUAGAAAAAGAGCAGCGUAAUGUACCUGGUGGUCUGACAGUAAGAGUUUCCCCUAUUGAAACUACUUCAGCUAUAAUUAAACCAGUCCAGACUUCUUAAAAUGUUUAAUACACAACAGCAGCGGCACCAACAACAACAACCAACUCAAUAAGAUAGUACUAACAAAAUGAAACUAUAUAGAAGCGCGGUUCUUGUACAUUCCAAGCAAAAGAGCUUGGUCAUGUUCGGUAUGUACAUCAUUUAAUAUUAGUUUAAAGUUAUUAUCAAUAUUUUAAUUUUAGAUUCCACAUGCGCACUCAUACAAACAAAAUGGGGCCUGAAAACCUAUUUUGAACCAAUUAAAGCAUUAACUCCGAUUGUCAAUGGGCACUUAAAGGCAGAGUUACUACUAGAAAAAGAUCAGCGUAAUGUACCUGGUGGACUGACAGUGGGAGUUUCCCCUAUUAAAACAACUGCAACUAGUUACUCUGGUUCAUACUCCAUUCAAAUUGUUAAAAACACAACAUCAGCAGCAAAAACAACAACAACAAAAACAAUCACCAACACAACAAGAAAGCGUUAAAAAAAUGAAAAUAUACAAGUACGGCAUUUGUACAUUCGAAUCGAAAGAGCUUGGUCAUGUUCAGGACUACAACAGAAGAAACGACUAUUCAGAUGUCAAAUAUGUUCUAAAUGCUUUUUUAAUCGAUAUAAUUGCCUUGAUCAAAUUCAUAAAGACCAUAAUCAACCAACUCAAUCAAGCUCAAAUGGAGAAAGAGUAACGGAAGAUUCUCAUCCGGAGUCUCUAAUGGACGUAGAUAACAAUCAACAGGAUCACUGUCGACACGGGUAUGAUGUUAAAUGACAAUUUCUCCUCCAAAGAAUCUGCAAAUGUUGAGCAAGAAGUCGCCAAAGAAGAAGAUAAUGUAGAAGAUACAGUCAUGCCUGAACAGGAAGAAGCUGAUUAAGAAACUCCAGAAAGUGUUCAGAAUAAAGUUGAUGAAGACAACGCAAAUGUGGAAAACAAAAUGGGAGACUUGGGCAUAGAAUCAAUGUUAGCCACAAUCCAUAAUGAUAAGUUACAUAGGUAACACAAAAAUAAUUAAAAAAUCUAAGCUCCCAAAAAAAAUUUAGUAACUAGGUUAGUUAUUAAUUUUUGUUUAUUAUUUUCAAAAUACUAUGUAGGUUAGCUUAGUAUACUGAAUAUUAUUUCAAAGUUCUGGUAUAUAUUACAUUUAAUACUAGUUCAAACUUAUUUAAA
Molecule: long non-coding RNA, 2090 nt
Filed under: Acyrthosiphon pisum (pea aphid)
Lineage: Eukaryota; Metazoa; Arthropoda; Insecta; Hemiptera; Aphididae
Description: uncharacterized LOC100575406
Source: RNAcentral